GGGGGAUAUCGCUGCUCCCGCCCUCCAGCCGCGCUGCCCCUGCCGCCCAGCCGGGGAAGCGAGGUAAACUCGGGCGGCCGUCGGGAACGGCCCCGGGCGGUGCGGGGCUUUGUUCCCGGUGGGGUGAGAGGAGGCUGACAACAGCUCAUCUGGAGAGUUGGCUGGUGGACAAACCAAGCCUCAAGAAACAGCUUCAAGGUCCCACAUCUUCAAAAGCAAGUCUUUUAAGAAAUCCAAAAUUUGUGGAAUCUGCAAACAAGUAAUUGAUAGCCAAGGCAUUUCCUGCAGAGCUUGCAAAUAUGCCUGCCACAGGAAAUGUGAAGAAAAGGUAAGCAUAUUUAUUUGCCUCCCUUCUUGCUGUUGAUCCACACAUAUUUGAAGUUGAG
Molecule: long non-coding RNA, 386 nt
Filed under: Calidris pygmaea (Spoon-billed sandpiper)
Lineage: Eukaryota; Metazoa; Chordata; Aves; Charadriiformes; Scolopacidae
Description: lncRNA (ENSCPGG00000015266.1)
Source: RNAcentral